AUGGCCUUCAACAACCAAGCAAUAAAAACUACAGAAAUCCCAUUGGAAUCAUGGGAUUUAAAUUCCCCGUGCGAGGUUCCACAACCAAACAAGAAAAUCUACACUAACUUUCACAACCAAACUGAUAAAGUACAGCUUGUCGCCGGGACGCUCGCCGGCCGUGGACAUGGCGGAGAGCCUGCUCGUCCUUGGGAGGAACCCGCCCGCGCGCCUCAGGUGCUGCGACUGCUGCGCCGCGGGGGACGGCCUGAGGGCCCUGCUGGCGCACUGCCGGCUGUUCAUUCGCUUCAAGCCCAGACCGCGGCUGGACGGCGGGGAGCCGGGCUUGCUGCUGCCGGCGGCGGCCGCCUGCUUGCGCGCCUUGUGGAGGCUGCACCGGAACGAGCCCGGGUGGUUCGUCGGUGA
This 405-nucleotide ribosomal RNA is filed under the name Triticum aestivum (bread wheat). RNAcentral describes it as "partial small subunit ribosomal RNA". The record is from RNAcentral. Lineage: Eukaryota; Viridiplantae; Streptophyta; Magnoliopsida; Poales; Poaceae.